AGAUUCUUCUGUAUUAAUAGCCUCAGUGUUUGAAAGACUGACUGGCUAGUGGCUAUGCCGGGAGAGCACUUGACAUCUGGUCUCUCAGUAGCCUGUCAUCCAGAUUAGAGAACAUAUGGAUUCCCAACCUACACAGAAGAGCCACCACUGCUGCCAUGGAUUUUGUAAACAUACAAGGGGCUGCUGUGAGGUCAAAAGGGAGAGCUGCGAAUUGAUAGUGUGUUGGCCAUGAACCUGAGGAGCUUGCUGUGGCUGCAAUGAAUUGCCACGUAAAAGCAAGCAUCCUUUAAGUCCUGAGCAGCAUACUAGUCCCCACUCUCUAAGGAAAGGAUAAUAGAAGCAAGAAUAAUCAUCCAACAUUUUAUUUUCGUCAGAAAUUUGUGCAGUUGCUUUAGAUCAAAAAGAAGCCUGAGUUCCCUUUUGCUUUUGGCAUUAGGUGAAAUUUGGAACUGAAUCCUUUCCUUUGAAAAGGGAUGGGAACUUCCUCUAUGCUUUCCCUUUCACCCCAAGGAGACUGAAUCUCCUGACGUAUCAUGAUUUCAUGAGAGUGGUCCCAUGAGAGGAAUGGAGUAGGUCAUGGAAAGGGGAAACAGAAGUAACCUGGAGGAUGCAGUCCUGGAGGAUGCCUUACUUAGGACUCAUUGAUCUAUGGUAAUGCAGAACUGAGCAUUUAGGAUAUGAGAUAAGUGGUUGGCAAUAAUAGGGGAAGGGAACAAUGGUAUCUAGAGAAGUGAUAGGCUGCUCUUAACUUACAGGUCAAAAUUAAUACUGCAGGGGGGAUCAGUCUGCCUGGAUGAAGCAGGCACUGUGGAAGAGGAAAGAGGCGUAGAUCAUUUUUAUAACUUCUGCCCACUCUCUCAAUAGAUAUUAGCUAUGAGGCACAAAUGUGUGGAAUUGCUGAGACUGUUCUGGGCAGAAAGCUCUUUGUUGCUGGUGUACAAAUCCCCACAACUUAAGUGUUGCUUGAGUAAUUAAAGCUAUGAAGCUUUUCAUUCAUUUUCUCAGAGGACAGCAAAAGGACUCUGAAAAGGUCUUGUAUGGUUCACAGUACCUCUUGAGGCAAAACUGAUGAUUGUACCCAAGGUGACUUGCUUGGAAACAGAGGAAGCCAUAACACAAGCCACUAAAUUUACUGCAUCCUUCCUUCCUUGCUUCCAGGGGUGUCCUAGCCACUAAUCUAUCCUAAUCAACCAGAGUGGUAACUACUAGGGAUGUAAAAUCCUAGUUAACUGGUUAAACAAUGUUUAACCGGUUAACUGAUUAAGGGGGGAGGGGCAGGGUUCCUAACUCUCAGGGUUGAAUUGUCAGAUACCAAAUCUAUCAAACCUGCACAUGAUGUAAGCAAAACAAUGUUCUGCCAUUUUUCUGCCCCACAAAUCCUGUGUAUGUGUAGGUAUCAGUUCAGCCACUGAUGCAACUUAAAGCAGCCUCAAGGCUGUUCUAUAUUGCCUAGUCUGUAAAAGUUCCUUCAGGGACAUUAUGCUGGUAGAUUUCAGAAACAUAUCCCUUCUAUCCACACCCCUUCCUAUUCCUUGCCAUCUUCUACACAAGGAAAGAAGAUCUGAGAAAUUUGGUAGAAAUCUGGUGUAGGUUGAACUAAUUCUUAGGACUGUCCACUAAAGAAACACAAACACAGUUUUAAAAGGGCUGAGGAUCUGGUGCAUAUUUAUAUAGCAUUCUUAGAGAACAUAUUUCUCUCAUUCAAACACAUCAUAGCACAACUGCCAAAUUUUGUGCAGCUCCAUCUGCUAUCUUUCUCACUGCUUGAAGAGUGUUGUAUAUAAAGUUGAAAAUGUUAUAUACAAAAUAUUUCAUAUGUAAGUUAAAUAAUUAAAUAUGCACAAUGAAUCACACAGCAGCACAAAACUUGGCAGCUAUUAAACCACUUCCUCAGUUUUGAAUCAUCACUCACCAAACACUUCCAGGUUCAGACUACAACCUCCACACACAACCAUUCAUACUUACAAAAUCUAACUUCAAAACUCUCUCCCAUCCUAAUUUAAUUUGCAUAAAAUGUCAGAUGGAUUUGUACAAAAUUUGGUAGCUAUGGAAUCACCUCCAGCCCCAACAGGAGUCCACCACGACCACCUUGCAUUAUAACAGGCACCUAUGCUGUAAUAUUACUAGUGAGGCGAGGCCCCAUCCCCUACUAACCAUUGCCCCUGGGAUGAUGGGUAAAAGCGAAGCCAAAGUGGAGAAGGUUGCAGUAGUUGAGGUGGGAAAUAAGUAUAGUAUGGAUGAGCAACUUGUCAGCAAAGAGAGAAAAAGGGGAUGAAUUUUAGAGAUAUGUGAAUGGGUAGGCUUUGGUGAGGACCUGGAUGUAAAGAAAGAUGGGAAAAAGUAACAUACUUGAGUAAUGGCAGAGAUGUUAAGUUAUGUGAACUGGACAAUACAGAAGGGAAGAGGAAAGGAUUUACAAGGGAAGAUAAUAUAAAAGCCAUAUCAAAUGUGAUCAUGUUAUUCUGCAUUACGAACACCUAUAUGCUACAUAUUGCCGGGUGCCAACAGAAUAUUACUGACAGAGAGACUGCAAAAGUAAAUGUCAGCAAUGAUAUGUUGUUUGACAUGAUGUCACCAGGAUGAAACAUCCAUAGCAAAGUGUAUGCAAAAACGAGACACAGAUCUGUAUCUUGAAGCAACAUACUUUCCACAUUUUUGUUUAGGUUUUGAAGAACUGCCUUUUGGACUAGUUAACAUCUUUUAGCCAAUUGUUUCAGUUUAAUCCAGAGUACUACCAGUUGGAAGAGCUUUAUGUUACCAAUGAGUAAUGCUGUUUAAUACAAUUUCUCUCACAUAGUCUGCUUGCAGUUUAACACUGUGCUUGUAAUAACCAAUGUUUACUGUCUUAGUGAAUUUGUACUUCCACCUCAUCUCUAAAAGUAUGAUUUUAGUUUUAACCCCAUCAUUCGUGGUAGAAAAUGCAUUGCAGGUUUUUCUUUUCAUUGUAGGCAUUGUCUUUCUGCAUAUUAAUAAAACCAACAACAUAUUGACUUAUUUUGCCGUUUUCUUGAGCUGACUAAACACCAUUAUUGUGACUACAUGCAACAAUUGUAGAAAAAAUUGACAACCAUUUCCUAUGACCUCCCUAAGGAUUUUGCUCUUAAUGUAAGCUCAAUAUUUGUACAUUUUGGUUAUGUCAACACUUGCUGGGGGUAGAGGGAUGACUGUUUACAAAGCUUGCCUAGAAAAUUAAAUAUUUACUACAGCUGUGCUCAGCAGCAAGGGAAACCCAUGAGUAGUUAGCUCUGCUUUUGUCAAUCUAAGCAUACCAAUGACAUCUAUGCUACAUAUAAGGACCCCAACUUCCAGAGCUGUUGAGCACCUCCCAACUCUACUUCAAUUGAAGUUGUGGGCAUUCAACAUUUCUAAAGGUCAGAUCCUAGGAUCUGUGUAAGUUUUCAACACAUGACAAUGGUUUUAGCUGACACACUGCCAUGUCAUCACAUUUAUGUACAAUAUCAAAUGUAAUAAAUAAAACUAAUUCUCCAGUUUCAAUUAGAUCAAGAUUUAAUUUACAAAAGAAAUAUAACUAUAUUAUUAGAAUUAAAAGCAAUAGUUGCUUUAAUGUGAUUGAAUAUAAAAGCCUAAACAAUUCAGAAGUCUUCCUGGGACAAUUUUCCCUUGCCUCAAGUAUAUAAAGAUAAUCCAUCUCUAACCAUUUCUUGGAUCUAGCGGCCUGUGCCCAGUAUAAAUGUUCUCUUUUAUAUUAAAAAAACCCACACCCCUAAAUAUAGUACAAUGUUAAGAGAACAAAUGAAAUGUUGUUUGAAGUGGGAACUGGCCCUUUUUACUGAAUCUGUUUUAACGUCUACAAGUAAAGGUUUACGAUCUUCUCAUCCAAAGCAACCAGUAUGUGUGCUUUCUUUUCUCAGUUCUUAUUAAGUUAUCAUUCUAGUAUUGCCAGUUUUUCUCCCAUAAUGCCCAAUGUGACUUUUGAAAUUACUUAUCGUCUUUUUCCCUUUUUUUGUACAGGUGGGACAGGGACACGCGGAAUGGUCUAUCACUCAGGCAUCCUCAAACACACGAGUCUAUUCAAAAAGGUAUAGAAAGAAGGCAUAGAAAACAAAAAUAAGCAGGAUUAAGUCUGUGUCUAAUCUGCUUUUAUUCAUGAAUAUUCUUUAGAGAAAAUCAACACAAACUCCAAAGAACUCUGGAUCAUGGUAGUUUCUAUAUUUUAGGAAAGUCAAGUCAUAGGAGAAUCAUAAGGCUGCAUAUACAUUUCAAGAUUUUAGCAUUUUGUGUCUAUGUGUUUAACUGAGUAUCAAAAAGGCCACAAACUAAUAGUUGUAUUUGCUCAAACACUGAACGCAAUAUUUGAAGAGUGAUUACUCAUAAGAAUAUUUAACUGGAACAGCCCCUCUAAUUAUUAUCAUUUCCCAUCUAAGUCAAGUCUAUUUCUAAGUUUUUAAAGUGUGGGUAAAUCUCUGUAUUUUUAAUGCUUGAUCUGAAGUUGCACCAACACAUUUCUGUGCAUUAGUCUGUACAGGAUCUUUUUUAUUUCCUCGUUAUAUAUACACAGUAGUAUCUGCAUUCAGAUACACAAAUGUUGAAAACUGAUGAUAAAAGGCUGUUUGUUAGAUAUACUCCAAAAGCCAAAUCCUGUGUAAGCAGUAAACAAAGAUAAAUGGCAUUUUAUUCAAAGACAUGAGUAGAAUAACAUGUUCACAAAUCCUAUGUGAACAGAUGUUUAAUUGCUUCCAUAGUAAUUAAAAAAUCUAAACAUUUAUGUUCACAGCUGUCUUCUCAUGAGCCUUUUUGUAAGGAUCAGCAUUUACAGCAUUUGCUGGCAGAUUCUCAGAUACAGCAGAUGUCAGAGCUGAGAAUUUUGCUAUUGUGGUGUUCUUAAUUCUCUGUUGCAUCAGUAGACAGUCAAGACUGGAUUUUGC
This is a non-coding RNA of Pelodiscus sinensis (Chinese soft-shelled turtle), 4886 nucleotides long. The record is from RefSeq and is a predicted model, not a curated record. NCBI's taxonomy places the organism in Eukaryota, Metazoa, Chordata, Testudines, Trionychidae.